This is a long non-coding RNA of Dreissena polymorpha, 1284 nucleotides long. RefSeq lists it as uncharacterized. The transcript is spliced from 3 exons. The record is from RefSeq and is a predicted model, not a curated record. NCBI's taxonomy places the organism in Eukaryota, Metazoa, Mollusca, Bivalvia, Myida, Dreissenidae.
CUGAAAGUCGGAAUUCUGGUUUCCCAAGCAAUGAAAUUCAAAACAAACACAAACUGCGAGUGUUUCAUGUGCGUAUCACAACAAUGUUGGUGGAUAUACAUAAAUAACAUAGUUAUGGCAUAAACCAAGGGGGAAAAUCCACCUUGGAAAACUGCUAACAGUGAUCAUUUCGGUCUCCCGUUGCUACCCAUAUAUCGAUCGCAAAUAUCGACUUCAAUGAUUUAGCUUGUCAUUUUUUAAAGAUAAAUGAAACAUAGUUUGAUGCGUAAAUCGAAUGAAAAGCUCGGAAAUAAAUACGCAUUUGUACAUGAAGCGGAUGUCGAUUUGUAUACCUGCAUUUUGAUGUGUACAUUUCUCGAAUUGCUUUAAUAUUCCUUUUCUUCACUGUUCUCCAUUUUUGUUCCUAUCUAUUAUAAAAAAAAACUCAGUAUACGUCAAGUACAUAUUUAAAACAUUCACGUUACAUGGCAGUCCAAUAUACGCAGUGGUUGGCUUCUCACCUAAGCGUCCAAUUCUGUAUAUUUUGUUGGUGGUCACCAUACUAAACAUGUGGCGUUUCUUGUGAGAACAAUGCUCCCCUCGCAUUUAAAGCAUUAACACAUCAAUACCAGAAGCUGGAAAUUCACGUUAUAAUUCAAAAAUUUUCCCGACGUUCGUGAAUCGUUCGAUAAUUACGUAGACAUUAUGUGAUAAAAUUCGGGUCAUUAUAUAAUGAACCGUCACUAGCGAAAAGAUUUGUUCAAGAAAAAUCGCACAUACGUUCAUACUCUACCGUUUCACAUUAGACAUGGGAAAUGGCGGUAACGGAGGGAGCGGUGGUGGUGGCGGCGGGGGUGGAGGAGGAUUUUUCGGCGGCGGAAAAGGAGGCGACGCUGGCAAGAAAGGCGGCGGUGGAGGAGGAGGUGGUGGCGGUCCCUUUGGAGGCAAAGGGGGCAAGGGAGCUUCCGGUCGCUCAAUACAACAGUGGUCGGCGGUGUAUACGUAUACUUAUUUGGACAUUGCAAACCACAGAUGAUGAAAAUCAAAAUUGAUACCUGAAAUGUGUGCUGUAGUAAAACAUGUGCAUAAACUUUAUUAUUUGUUAAUGUCUUCAUCAAACAAUAACAUAUUACAAGAGGGCCAAGUUUGUCAUAGUUCGAUCAUCUGAGAGGAGUUGGUUCAUUCAAUCUUUGUCAAAAAUAUGACCUAGUGAUCAAGUGUUUGAGCUAGAUGAGUCAGAUACGAUUAUUACUUCGAUUUGCAUCAAGAAAUUCAUUCUCUUAAAAUAAUCAAGUAUUAGGUGAA